This 1513-nucleotide ribosomal RNA is filed under the name uncultured bacterium. RNAcentral describes it as "bacterial SSU rRNA". It matches the Rfam family "Bacterial small subunit ribosomal RNA". The record is from RNAcentral.
AGAGUUUGAUCCUGGCUCAGGAUGAACGCUGGCGGCGUGGAUAAGGCAUGCAAGUUGAACGGAACUAAUCCGACGGAAGUAUUGAUCGAAGCUAACUAGUAUUUAUACGGGUUAGUCGAGUGAUAUAUGGAAGACGGACAGUUUAGUAGCAAACGAGGUAGUAAUAUUUAGGAACGCACCCCGAAGUCACGAAUAGCCCACCGAAAGGUGGAGUAAUACGUGAUAGUACCGCAAGGUUAAAGAUUUAUCGCUUCGGGAGCGGCUUAAACAGUAUCAGCUAGUUGGUAAGGUAAUGGCUUACCAAGGCUAUGACGCUUAGGAGAGGUGAGAGCCUGACCUCCACCGAUGGGACUGCGACACGGCCCAUACACCUACGGGUGGCUGCAGUCGAGAAUCUUCCACAAUGGACGAAAGUCUGAUGGAGCGACGCCGCGUGAUCGAUGAAGUGCUUCGGUAUGUAAAGAUCUUUUAUGGGGGAAGAAGUUUAUUGACGGUACCCCAUGAAUAAGGGCCUGCAAAACUCGUGCCAGCAGCAGCGGUAAUACGAGUGGCCCAAGCGUUAUCCGGAUUUAUUGGGCGUAAAGGAUAUGUAGGUGGUUUUAUUAGUCGGGUGUCUAACCUCUGUGCUCAACAUGGAGACAGCAUUCGAAACGGUAAGACUAGGGUAUGUCAGGGGGUAAGCGGAACUCAUAGUGUAGGGGUGAAAUCCGUUGAUAUUUAUGGGGAACACCAAAAGCGAAGGCAGCUUACUGGGACAUUACUGACACUGAAAUUAUGAAAGCGUGGGGUAGCGAAUGGGAUUAGAUACCCCCAGUAGUCCACGCCCUAAACGAUGUUCUCUCGCUAUCAUGAGUAUCGACCCUCAUGGUGGCUUAGCUAACGCGGUAAGAGAACCGCCUGGGAAGUACGAUCGCAAGAUUAAAACUCAAAGGAAUAGACGGGGACCUGCACAAGCAGUGGAUUAUGUGGUUUAAUUCGAUGGUAAACGAAGAACCUCACCAGGAUUUGAAACUCACGUGAAAGCCUAAGGAAACUAUGGCCCUCGCAAGACACGUGGACAGGUGAUGCAUGGCCGUCGUCAGUUCGUGGUUUGAACUGUUCCCUUCAGUGGGGUAACGAACGCAACCCUUAUCGUGUGUUACAAGUGUCACACGAGACUGCCCCGUAAUCUGGGCGCAAGAUACAGCUUAUAGACUAUAGCUGAUAGCUUAUGGCAUUAAAAUGCUAUUAGCUAUCGACUAUCAGUCAUCAGCUUGCAUUUUGCGAGUAGAUUACGGGGAGGAAGGAGAGGAUGACGCCAGGUCAGCAUGUCCCUUUGACAUCCUGGGCUACACACAUAAUACAAUCGCAUAGACAACGGGUCGCGACGGGGUAACCCUGAGCCAAUCCUUCAAACUAUGCGCCAGUUCAGAUUGUGGUCUGCAACUCGACCACAUGAAGCCGGAAUUGCUAGUAAUCGCGGGUCAGCCAAACCGCGGUGAAUACGUUCUCAGGUCUUGCACACACCGCCCGU